GCAUGGUUUAGGUCGGUAACAACUCAAUAAUUUGUAUCUGAGCCGCCGUAUUUGAUGGAUCCACGCCAACUUGCUUCAUCAUCGUACGCCCCACAACAAUUCCCCACCUAAUGUCAACCCACCCAAACCCAACAACCAACCUCACAACAUCAACCUACCACAUACACACAACAACCAAACAUCCAACCUCGUAACCCGUUCAUGC
This 205-nucleotide long non-coding RNA is filed under the name Lathyrus oleraceus (garden pea). RNAcentral describes it as "Pisum sativum (pea) long non-coding RNA (PSAT_LNC035289)". The record is from RNAcentral. Lineage: Eukaryota; Viridiplantae; Streptophyta; Magnoliopsida; Fabales; Fabaceae.